This 253-nucleotide ribosomal RNA is filed under the name uncultured bacterium. RNAcentral's name for it is "partial 16S ribosomal RNA". It matches the Rfam family "Bacterial small subunit ribosomal RNA", at positions 524 to 776 of the family's 1533-position model. The record is from RNAcentral.
UACGAAGGGGGCUAGCGUUGCUCGGAAUUACUGGGCGUAAAGCGCACGUAGGCGGCUUUCUAAGUCGGGGGUGAAAUCCUGGAGCUCAACUCCAGAACUGCCUUCGAUACUGGAGAGCUUGAGUCCGGGAGAGGUGAGUGGAACUGCGAGUGUAGAGGUGAAAUUCGUAGAUAUUCGCAAGAACACCAGUGGCGAAGGCGGCUCACUGGACCGGUACUGACGCUGAGGCGCGAAAGCGUGGGGAGCAAACGGG